AUUGAACGCUGGCGGCAGGCCUAACACAUGCAAGUCGAACGGUAACAGGAAGCAGCCUGCUGCUUUGCUGACGAGUGGCGGACGGGUGAGUAAUGUCUGGGAAACUGCCCGAUGGAGGGGGAUAACUACUGGAAACGGUAGCUAAUACCGCAUAACGUCGCAAGACCAAAGAGGGGGACCUUAGGGCCUCUUGCCAUCGGAUGUGCCCAGAUGGGAUUAGCUAGUAGGUGGGGUAACGGCUCACCUAGGCGACGAUCCCUAGCUGGUCUGAGAGGAUGACCAGCCACACUGGAACUGAGACACGGUCCAGACUCCUACGGGAGGCAGCAGUGGGGAAUAUUGCACAAUGGGCGCAAGCCUGAUGCAGCCAUGCCGCGUGUAUGAAGAAGGCCUUCGGGUUGUAAAGUACUUUCAGCGGGGAGGAAGGGAGUAAAGUUAAUACCUUUGCUCAUUGACGUUACCCGCAGAAGAAGCACCGGCUAACUCCGUG
RNAcentral lists this ribosomal RNA (490 nucleotides) under uncultured bacterium. RNAcentral's name for it is "partial 16S ribosomal RNA". It matches the Rfam family "Bacterial small subunit ribosomal RNA", at positions 30 to 507 of the family's 1533-position model. The record is from RNAcentral.